This 189-nucleotide unclassified non-coding RNA is filed under the name air metagenome. Its description in RNAcentral is "partial contains small subunit ribosomal RNA, internal transcribed spacer 1, and 5.8S ribosomal RNA". The stretch from base 1 to 46 matches the Rfam family "Eukaryotic small subunit ribosomal RNA", at positions 1786 to 1831 of the family's 1831-position model. The record is from RNAcentral.
AAGUCGUAACAAGGUUUCCGUAGGUGAACCUGCGGAAGGAUCAUUAUCGAACGUGUUCCCUCACACACACACCGUGCACCUUCGGGCGGCCCCCGCGGCCGUCCGCCUUUUUACCUUAACCACGCAUGUCUCGAAUGUAACAUCUUCGUUAACGCGAAACAACUUUCGACAACGGAUCUCUUGGCUCUC